CUACGGGUCGCUCCAGUGAGGAAUAUUGCACAAUGGGGGGAACCCUGAUGCAGCAACGCCGCGUGGAGGAUGACGCAUUUCGGUGUGUAAACUCCUUUUAUAUGUCAAGAAAAUGACGGUAGCAUAUGAAUAAGCACCGGCUAACUCCGUGCCAGCAGCCGCGGUAAUACGGAGGGUGCAAGCGUUACUCGGAAUCACUGGGCGUAAAGGACGCGUAGGCUGGUUGGUAAGUCAGGUGUGAAAUCCUACAGCUUAACUGUAGAACUGCACUUGAAACUACCAACCUAGAGUAUGGGAGGGGGAGAUGGAAUUAGUGGUGUAGGGGUAAAAUCCGUAGAUAUCACUAGGAAUACCGAAAGCGAAGGCGAUCUCCUGGAACAUAACUGACGCUAAGGCGUGAAAGCGUGGGGAGCAAACAGGAUUAGAUACCCUCGUAGUC
Molecule: ribosomal RNA, 439 nt
Filed under: uncultured bacterium
Lineage: Bacteria
Description: partial 16S ribosomal RNA
Rfam family: Bacterial small subunit ribosomal RNA
Source: RNAcentral